UUUNAUUAGANGCAACGCGAAGAACCUUUACAGGUCUUGANNUCCUUUGACAAUCAUAGAGAUAGGACUUUCCCNUCGGGGNCAAAGUGACAGGUGGUGCAUGGUUGUCGUCAGCUCGNGUCGUGAGAUGUUGGGUUAAGUCCCGCAACGAGCGCAACCCCUAUUGUUAGUUGCCAGCAUUCAGUUGGGCACUCUAAUGAGACUGCCGGUGACAAACCGGAGGAAGGUGGGGAUGACGUCAAAUCAUCAUGCCCCUUAUGACCUGGGCUACACACGUGCUACAAUGGAUGGUACAACGAGCAGCAAGACCGCGAGGUCAAGCGAAUCUCUUAAAGCCAUUCUCAGUUCGGAUUGUAGGCUGCAACUCGCCUACAUGAAGCCGGAAUCGCUAGUAAUCGCGGAUCAGCACGCCNCGNUGANUACGUUCCCGGGUCUUGUACACACCGCCCGUCACACCACGAGAGUUUGUAACACCCGAAGUCGGUGAGGUAACCUUUUUGGAGCCAGCCGCCUAAGGUGGGACANAUGAUUGGGGUGAANNCGUAACANNNNNNCCAAGGGCGAA
Molecule: ribosomal RNA, 565 nt
Filed under: bacterium enrichment culture clone ZZ_C6b
Lineage: Bacteria
Description: partial 16S ribosomal RNA
Rfam family: Bacterial small subunit ribosomal RNA
Source: RNAcentral